Molecule: long non-coding RNA, 649 nt
Filed under: Hordeum vulgare
Lineage: Eukaryota; Viridiplantae; Streptophyta; Magnoliopsida; Poales; Poaceae
Description: long non-coding RNA (HVUL_LNC011255)
Source: RNAcentral
AACCAAAGGUACCCGUAGCCGAUAGCGCCGAUAGCUAUGCCGCGCCAAAGAAGACCCAACCGGAGACACCGGCGGCUGUGACAACUGAUAGCGUCGCCGCACCGAAGAAUGCUCAGCUAGACACACCGGCGGCGCCAAGCACUACACAACCAAAUACAGCGGUGGCGAGCACAACUGAUGCUUAUGCCGCGCCAAAGACUGCACAGCCAGAGACACCGGCAGCCGAAACAACCGAUGCAUAUGUUGCGCCGAAACCGAAGCCGUAUGUGUAAGUCCAACAGCUCACCCAGCUUCCAAGUGACCAACCAAAAUAAUUUCCCCCUCCUGUUCACUUCAGAAGGUUCUACGACCGGAAAGCGGUCCAAGCUCAUUUUUUAUAUCCCAAUUUUCAACUGUAAUUGCUUAUCCAAUGUAUGCAACUCCGUUUGCAGUAUUACUUUAUUCGUGUAAAGAGAACGCCCGUUAGCUAGGCAAAGAAACGGGUCUUCUAUCACUUUGUGUUCUAAAAAGGAAACUCAUAUACCAUGCAUAUGACACUGGAUUAUACAAAUUCAGGUUUCGUGAAUAUUUCGAAGAUUGUUUCAUAGAGGAUAUAUAGAAAAUGCAUCGCAUGUUCAGGUUUCGUGAAUAUUCCGAAGAUGGUUUCGAA